Molecule: ribosomal RNA, 372 nt
Filed under: uncultured organism
Description: bacterial SSU rRNA
Rfam family: Bacterial small subunit ribosomal RNA
Source: RNAcentral
CGUAGGGGGCAAGCGUUGUCCGGAUUUAUUGGGCGUAAAGCGCUCGCAGGUGGUCCGUUGCGUCGUGCGUGAAAGACCCCGGCUCAACCGGGGGUGGUCGUGCGAUACGGGCGGACUGGAGGCCAGUAGGGGGAUGCGGAAUUCCGGGCGUAGUGGUGGAAUGCGUAGAGAUCCGGAGGAACACCAGCGGCGAAGGCGGCAUCCUGGACUGGUCCUGACACUCAGGAGCGAAAGCGUGGGGAGCGAUCCGGAUUAGAUACCCGGGUAGUCCACGCCGUAAACGAUGAGCACUAGGUGUCGGGGGUAUCGACCCCCUCGGUGCCGCAGCUAACGCGAUAAGUGCUCCGCCUGGGGACUACGGCCGCAAGGCUA